CGAGUGGCGGACGGGUGAGUAACACGUGGGUAACCUGCCCGGAAGUGGGGAAUACCCCAGGGAAACUUGGGCUAAUACCGCAUAACAUCGCCGGAACGAGAGUUCCGGGGAUCAAAGAGGGGGUCGCAAGACCUUUCGCUUCCAGAGGGGCCCGCGCCCGAUUAGCUAGUUGGUGAGGUAACGGCCCACCAAGGCGACGAUCGGUAGCCGACCUGAGAGGGCGCACGGCCACACUGGAACUGAAACACGGUCCAG
Molecule: ribosomal RNA, 255 nt
Filed under: uncultured bacterium
Lineage: Bacteria
Description: partial 16S ribosomal RNA
Rfam family: Bacterial small subunit ribosomal RNA
Source: RNAcentral